Small nucleolar RNA from Rhinolophus ferrumequinum (greater horseshoe bat), 215 nucleotides. Its record names the gene U3. It matches the Rfam family "Small nucleolar RNA U3". From Rfam's summary of the family: Small nucleolar RNAs (snoRNAs) are involved in the processing and modification of rRNA in the nucleolus. NCBI's taxonomy places the organism in Eukaryota, Metazoa, Chordata, Mammalia, Chiroptera, Rhinolophidae. The record is from Ensembl.
AAGACUAUUCUUUCAGGGAUCAUUUCUAUAGUAUGUUACUAGAGAGUUUUCUCUGAAUGUGUAGAGCACCCGACACCGCGAAGAAGAGGCAUAGCAUCCUUUCCUGAGCGUGAAGCCGGCUCUUGGUAUUACUUCAAUAACUGCCACUUGCCAUUGAUGGUCAUUGUUCUCUUCCACCUCGGGGAGUGAGAGAGUGAGGAUGACGUCUGAGUAGU